Long non-coding RNA from Stylophora pistillata, 597 nucleotides. RefSeq lists it as uncharacterized. Lineage: Eukaryota; Metazoa; Cnidaria; Anthozoa; Scleractinia; Pocilloporidae. The record is from RefSeq and is a predicted model, not a curated record.
UCCGACUCAACUGUCUCAUUCGACAAAAUAAUUAUCGCCUUUUUUUCGUGAAAGUUAGUUAACUUCCGCAUGUUUCAUAUCUUGCACAAUAUAUAGCCGUCCACAGGUUUUCUAGAACUAUUCUAGAACUACACUGGUUACAUACGCUUGAUGGAGACUGUUGUGACUCGUAACUUAAUGGAGUCAGGAGUUAAGCAGAGGGGCCCCCACCUGGUGCACGACCAUGUUUUAUCAGCGGUUGGUUUCUGUGGAAACUACCAGAUUUUGCGAAAUCCAUGGUAACGGGUCAAAAUAAACGGGAAAAAAGCGAUUUGAGGUCGCCAAAAGUGCGGGGCAUUUGACCUGCGUCAGUCAGCUCGCCGAAUGAGCCAUCCUUAGAUCCCCUCAUGCUGAGACAAAAAUAGUCGACGAUCUGAGUUUCUAUGAGGCAAAAAAGCACGAUUGUAUGAUUUUAGAAGAGUUAUCACUUAUCUUUAGCGGACUGAACUCGCUAAAUUGCAAUUAUUUUUAGCGUGGAUAUUGUAUUUCGUUGAAUAACGUGAAAAUUCAAAUAAAUGCAAAUAAAGUUGUUCUACAUUUGAAAAGAACAACUUCAGA